UGGGGAAUUUUGGACAAUGGGCGAAAGCCUGAUCCAGCAAUGCCGCGUGUGUGAAGAAGGCCUUCGGGUUGUAAAGCACUUUUGUCCGGAAAGAAAUCCUUGGCUCUAAUACAGUCGGGGGAUGACGGUACCGGAAGAAUAAGCACCGGCUAACUACGUGCCAGCAGCCGCGGUAAUACGUAGGGUGCAAGCGUUAAUCGGAAUUACUGGGCGUAAAGCGUGCGCAGGCGGUUUGCUAAGACCGAUGUGAAAUCCCGGGCUCAACCUGGGAACUGCAUUGGUGACUGGCAGGCUAGAGUAUGGCAGAGGGGGGUAGAAUUCCACGUGUAGCAGUGAAAUGCGUAGAGAUGUGGAGGAAUACCGAUGGCGAAGGCAGCCCCCUGGGCAAGUACUGACGCUCAUGCACGAAAGCGUGGGGAGCAAACAGGAUUAGAUACCCUGGUAGUCCACGCCCUAAACGAUGUCAACUAGUUGUUGGGGAUUCAUUUCCUUAGUAACGUAGCUAACGCGUGAAGUUGACCGCCU
Molecule: ribosomal RNA, 525 nt
Filed under: uncultured bacterium
Lineage: Bacteria
Description: partial 16S ribosomal RNA
Rfam family: Bacterial small subunit ribosomal RNA
Source: RNAcentral